CCCGGCCCUUAGAUGUUCGGGGCCGCACGCGCGCUACACUGAAGGAAUCAGCACGUCUUUCUCCUUGUCCGAAAAGACUGGACAACUCGCUGAACUUCAAUCGUUCUGUAGGGAUUGGGGCUUGUAGUUAAUCUCCAUGAACCAGGAGUUACCAGUAAGCGCGAGUCAUAAGCUCGCGAAGAUUACGUCCCUCUCCUAUGAGAUUCUCGGAUUGGUCCCCGCUCGGCUUCUGGUUGUGCAUGUCGGAGUCCAGAAAGAAUGUCGAACCUAAUUAUCUAGAGGAGGUCGAAGUCUUAACA
Molecule: ribosomal RNA, 299 nt
Filed under: uncultured eukaryote
Lineage: Eukaryota
Description: partial 18S ribosomal RNA
Rfam family: Eukaryotic small subunit ribosomal RNA (bases 1-200)
Source: RNAcentral